Molecule: long non-coding RNA, 3032 nt
Organism: Pezoporus flaviventris
Lineage: Eukaryota; Metazoa; Chordata; Aves; Psittaciformes; Psittacidae
Exons: 3
Source: RefSeq, a predicted model, not a curated record
ACCUCAGUGGUCUCAAGUUACGCCAUCUCAACGCCAAUAAACAAUACCUUGAUAUGUUAUUUCCAUGAUUCUUAAGUAACCUCAGUGUAUGUAAAUCCCAUUUAAUUUUCUUUCAGAAUUAGUCUCUGCAAGGGUCGGUUUGUUAUUACAUUAUGAGGAUGCUUAGUAGGCUCUGUUGAAAACAAAGAAUUUACAGACCAACAAGACCAAAGGUGAAAGGUAAAGUGUAGGCUUACCAAUGUAAAAUUAUCUGCUCAUUGUCACCUAAUACGUUGCUGCCACAGCCAGGAACAUAGUCAAGGCCUCCCAGCUCUUAUUUCUGUGUUCUGCCUGCUAGAUCACAUCGCCCCUCAUGUUAGUAAGUUGAGAAAUGCCAAAUGUGUGGUGAGGCAGAGCCUUAGUCCCUAUUUUCAUAACAGGGUUCCUGGCCUUAGUAAUAAUUAAAGCUUUUUUAAUGCAUUUUUGUAACUCCUCUGACUUCAGGUGAUUUCUUUUUUAUUUACACAAGAUGGAUCAGGCCCAGGAUUAAUAGCUUUCCUCAGAGUGCUUGAGCACAGCAAUAUUUGCUUAUCACAAGGAGGAAUGAUUUCCCUGCCAUUACCCAGGUAAAUUUACUAUGAAUUUGCAGCAAGUUCUGCCCCAGUUUUCACCCUCUGAGAGACUCUCAGUGCUAGCCAUUAGAAACUUUAUAGGUAAGCUUCAGUUUCUUUUUGUAUAGCCAGAAUUUAACUUAACUCAAAAUGUCAGUGUGUUUGCCUUGAGGGAGAAUAGAAAGGAGAAUUAUCUAGUCCAUUUCAGGGAUUAGUCUUACUUGUGCUUUCUUUAUUGCUAUAUCUUCCAAGUUACAGGGCUGGAAGCCCAGAGGUUAAAUGGAUGAACGCUGGAUCAAAAGCAAGGUUUUUAGGAGCACAGUGAGCGAGGAUUUGUCAGGUGGACUGACUGAAAGCCAUGACAGACAGAAAAUGAAUACUGGAAAAGAUCCAAAGGGGGAAAAAUAUCUGUCAGUUCAGGAAAGAAACAGGUUAUGGAAAGGAGGCUGCUUUGCGCUGGGCUGCUUAAAACAAAAGCAAGGAAUUACCAGACUUUGGAAGCUGAAGGAAGCAAACAUGGAAGCUAAGAAGAGGGAAGAGAAGAAAAUGUCAUCAUUGCAGUGCCACUUAAAUAUGAUCUACAUGUCUGAACAACAGUGAAAUGACUGACUGCCAAGAAAGGGGAAACCAAUUGCCUGUCCAUAGAGACAAUACAGAUAUCUCUGGAGCUGUAUGUUAAACUUGUGAUGAAACAAACAGCAAAACCAGAGGCCUCGGUACUUGCCUCCUUUCUGUCUUUGGAAAUCAGUGGGAAUACAGAGCUGUAACUCUAAAUUACUAAUGAAGUGAGAUGGAUAUUUUUACAGAUGAGUUCUAACCCACAAGGUAAGUCAAAAUUCUUAUAAAUGGGAACAGUUGCUGCAUCAGUUCAUGGGGAUGUACGGUUUAAUUCCUCAAUUUGUACACAAACACUAAAUCAAUAGGAUUCCUGUGUAUCCAAAACUCACUCAAAUCAAUUAUCUCUACUGGGUGUUAGAUUAGACUAUUCCUGUGAGACAGAUUGUGUGUAUGUUGACUGAAACAAAAACCAUGGAUACUAUGAAAUGUACUUUGAAAUUGAAGAUAUCACAUAACUGAAGAAUAAGUUUACGUUAAAAAAAAAACAAGCUUAUUAAAAGAAUUGUCAUUAGCACUGUAUUGAUAAAGAUAACCUUUUCCAUUUGACUGGCAUCUGUCCACUUAUGCUUGCAUUGCUAUUCUAUCUGUUCCUAAAUCAUGUUGAUUUCUAUAUUUAUUCACAUGUCUAAAAGAUGACGUGAACAACUGGCGAUGAAGGACAGGUGACUAUUGUCAAGGCAACUGAAGGCAACUGAUUCAUUAGCUACCCCAAUUUGCCUCUCUUUGUGUCCUUUUAAGUAUUCCAUCCUCACUGAACUUAAACUCCCAUAAAGCAACACCACCAUCUACAGCUCAAAGAUCAGACUCUCCACCAUAAUUGCACCUCUCUGUCCUGAGCUCAAGCUAUGUCAGAUGUAAGAGUACCAGAUUUCUUCUGUUGAAAAUAUUCAAUAUCACUUUAAUUUUCAUUAUCCAAAAUUAGAGGUUGGUUUAAAAACAGAAACAAACAAACAAAAACCAAACAAAGAAAAUGAAACACUUCAAUGCAACUUGUUUAAAAGAAAGAUUCUUCUCUGCGUCUUCAUCCUGCACUCUGACUUCUGCAGUACAGUACUACCCAUGAUAACAUAGAAUUACAGAAGAGAUAGGAUUGGAAAGGACAAUGAGAUCACAUAGUUCCAACCCCCCUGCCCCGAGCAGGGACAUCUCCCACUAGACCAGGUUCCUCAAGGUCCCGUCUAACCCGGCUUUGAACACUUCCAGGGAUGGGGCAUCCAAAACUUUUCUGAGCAACCGGUUCCAGUGUCUCACCACCCUCAGAAAAGCACUAUCAGAAAGACAUGAAAUGCCUUUCUGUGGUGCAUAGUAAGCAGAAAGUUUUAGUUCCAGGGCAAUGCAAAUUCCUCAGAAAUUGGUGCUUCUGUAUUUCAGUGGAAAAAAAAACCACCUUUGUUGGAAGUUGUAACUCAUUAGGUGCAUGUUACUGGGAGAGACUUCUUUUUCUACUACUAGGAACAGAAACCACAGAAUAAAGAUUGUUUUACCACUAUCAUUUUCCAGUGAUUAUUUCUUACUUUUUUUUUGUGCCAUGUUGCCAACCACACUGUGGCUUUGGCAGGCUAAAAGGGAUACCUCCUCUCAGUUUCACAAAGGUAGUUACCAGGCUGCAUUGCACAGCUGAGGGAACUAUGGUCUCCACAGUGGCAGUGAUAAAGCUAAAAUCUUGUUACUUGCAGAUAAUAGGAGGUGAAGGGAAGUGAGAGACUCCACAAAUGCAAUUCUGUCCCACAGCCUUUACCCCUGCCUCCCCAAAGUAGUAAAGCCAAUUUGUUGGUGGCUUUUGACUCCUUGUCUGCCCUAGAAGGCUCUGUUAGUGCUUUUUGU